Molecule: long non-coding RNA, 1344 nt
Filed under: Rattus norvegicus (Norway rat)
Lineage: Eukaryota; Metazoa; Chordata; Mammalia; Rodentia; Muridae
Description: long non-coding RNA NONRATT032622
Source: RNAcentral
CGGCAAUGGGUUUGUGGGAUCGUGAACCAGUGCCUCCAACCAUGAUCCAAGACAAACCUCUUCUCUUGCUAACUUGAUCAACUCAAACAUCUGUCACAGGAAGCUUCAACAUAAUGACACAGGCCUAGUAAUUUACUUUUCACUUGGAAUUAGUUUCUCGGGCUCUUGACCAAGUCUUGAGCAAUACCUAGUGUGCCUUGACAUGGAGGAACCAUGGCUGCCGCUAGCAUAGACUUCACUCACUUUAGAAAUAUAAAAGAGUAAUCCAUUCUUUCCAGUAACAAGCAGGCUUGCAGCAGGGACUUAAGCGGGGUGGACAGAAGAGAACAGCUAUCUCCUUAGGCAGCCAGGAAGAGAAGAUGUAAGUUGAAUGGUCUGCACAGAAGUGACAACAGAGAUCUAUUGAAUUCAGCAACCUCUCCAGACACCUUCAAAAGGGGAUGCUCAUAUCCAUAUUUAUAAAGAGGAAUCCGAUGCCAAAAGAGGUCAAACAGUCUUUAUAAAUCCUUAUGUUAAAGUUACUUCAGCUCUACUCUGGGCAGCUAGCUUGAGAAUAUAUUUUGUUGAUUUAUGUAUUCUGGUGCUAUACUGUGUUGUAAGGAAUCAACGAUGACUUAAAUAUGUGAGGUAGCCUACAUAAAACAAACGAAUGUAGCUCUGGUGCUGGAAAAGUCGGGCCUAAUGUGCUAUUCACCAUUUACCUGUUAUGUUUUGAAUAUGUGCCCUGCUCUUAAUUCUUCUUCAUCCACAAUAUUAAAAAUGAGAAACCUCAUUUAAAAAUUGCAAACCUCAUGGGUUUGUCUCGAGGAUUAAAUAGAUAAGUAUGGUGCUUCCUCUAUGGAUGGGAUGUAGUACACUAAGGAAUAUUUUUAUCCUAGGCAUCAGGAUGAAUAGGAGUUGUCAGGACAAAAGAGAUGGGAAAAGCCUUAGAGGAUGUCAUGAGGAGAAAGAGGAGUUUCUACUGAAGUAUCACUUAAGGCUUUUCACACCAUUCUCUGCACUGAUUUUGCUGGACAAAGCUGAGCCUCUAAUGGAAGAACAAGAGAAGAGAGCGAGACCCACACAGAAAUAUAUCUGCUGAGGUUGGUAUAGCAAGGUCGUGUUUUAACCAUCCCUUUUCCCACACAAAAAUAGCAAUGAAGGGGGUUGGAGAGGUGUUUCAGGAUUCUACUUACAUCGCCCGCAUGACUGUUUAUCCAAGGGAAUCCAAUGCCCUCCUCUGGCUUCUGUGGGCACUGCAUGCCCAAGGUGCACAUACAUACGUUCAGGCAAAACACCCAUCCACUUAAAAUAAAAAUAAAGACAAACCUUUUUUUCCCCCUAAAUUAAAAAAAAAUAAUGACG